Tripterygium wilfordii is the source of this 1038-nucleotide long non-coding RNA. RefSeq lists it as uncharacterized. The transcript is spliced from 2 exons. NCBI's taxonomy places the organism in Eukaryota, Viridiplantae, Streptophyta, Magnoliopsida, Celastrales, Celastraceae. The record is from RefSeq and is a predicted model, not a curated record.
AAAAAAAAAACAACAAGGAAACCGAGGGAAGAAAGAAGAGUCCAGAAAAAAAUAAGAAGGAAAGAGAGGGAAGACUUUAGAGGGGCUAGCAGAGGACGUGAGACAGGGAGGGUGGUGUGCCGACCUCUUUGAUCUCUUCAUAGCUGCCAUGGUUUGUACCGGGAGGAUUUGUGAGUUGUGUUUACAAGGUUAAGGUUCAUUACAUGAUCGUACGUUAGGAAGAGAUGGUCUGUAUUGCUCUUGAACAUGUACAUGGAAGCUUUGAUGGACAGAGUUUAAAGUUGAAUUCAAAGGUUCACUUGCCUCAAGUGACCAGUUGGUCGGUGGUUUCUGCGAUUACGCGAGGGACGUGGAAGUAAUGGCAUGAUAGCUGAUUAGCCGGUGAGUGAAUAGUGAACUUACUCGAUACACUGGAUCCAUAAUUACUUAUGGUUCUGCACAUGCAUCAGAUUUGAAGUCAGUGGCACAUUUGAGAUCUUUGUACAUUCUAUUCUAUUACCGUUUACCUGACUCGCGAUGGCACCAUUGGUUCGUAUAUUAUUUGGGACGAGUUCUGAGUUACUGUUCACUAUUUGAUAUGAUUUCGGUGUCUAAUUUCGAUGUUAUUCUGAUACUGAGACUUAUUCCGACGCUACUCUGAUAUUGUUUUCGAUUCUGGAAUCACUUUGAUGUUUAUCUUGAUUCUGAAAUCACAUGCUAUUCUGAUAAUCUGAUUUUUGGGAGUGACUUUGUCAAAGUAUUGUAUGCUAACGACAGUAAUCGUUAGCCUUGGUGCACCAAGCUUGUUAUGGCACUUCGUGUGCUGCCUACUACGGCACUGUGUAUGCUACCUGUUGUCUCUGUACAGAAGUCCUCCCACCUCACUAUUGUUAAUGGAUAUCUGCUAAUUUGAAAGAUUUGACAAACAUUUUGAUUUCUAUGUUAUCGGAUUAUUCGUCCCUUUCAACUUGUUUGUCCCCCUUUGUAUUGCUUAAAGGGAAAAUUAAAUAUAAGUUCUUCAUGGGAGAGCUUUGUUUUCUAAUAGGGACAUUCUUAAAA